AUUGAACGCUGGCGGCAGGCUUAACACAUGCAAGUCGAGCGGGGUGAUGGUGCUUGCACUAUCACUUAGCGGCGGACGGGUGAGUAAUGCUUAGGAAUCUGCCUAUUAGUGGGGGACAACAUCUCGAAAGGGAUGCUAAUACCGCAUACGUCCUACGGGAGAAAGCAGGGGAUCACUUGUGACCUUGCGCUAAUAGAUGAGCCUAAGUCGGAUUAGCUAGUUGGUGGGGUAAAGGCCUACCAAGGCGACGAUCUGUAGCGGGUCUGAGAGGAUGAUCCGCCAGACUGGGAGUGAGACACGGCCCAGACUCCUACGGGAGGCAGCAGUGGGGAAUAUUGGACAAUGGGGGGGACCCUGAUCCAGCCAUGCCGCGUGUGUGAAGAAGGCCUUAUGGUUGUAAAGCACUUUAAGCGAGGAGUAGGCUCUUUUGGUUAAUACCCAAGAUGAGUGGACGUUACUCGCAGAAUAAGCACCGGCUAACUCUGUGCCAGCCGCCGCGGUAA
Molecule: ribosomal RNA, 503 nt
Filed under: uncultured bacterium
Lineage: Bacteria
Description: partial 16S ribosomal RNA
Rfam family: Bacterial small subunit ribosomal RNA
Source: RNAcentral